CUCGUCACUGUACUCGAGACUUGCAUCGGUGUCGUAGUCAUCCCUUCGACACUGCUCCAUGCCAAAAGUAAUGAACAUCCCUCGGACAAGCAGUGUCUUACUGGACGUUGGAUAGUUAUGCUUGCGGGAACACCUGUCUCCAAAUCGGCAGGAACCUGUUUUGAUAUAGAAUGGGCAAUUUGCUCUAUCCUUCUCUGUUCCUAUGUUCUCUGGAGGCUCUGGGUUAUGCCAGGUCACACCAUUCUCCAGCUGGCUUUCAGCUUGAUCCAGCAUCUUCUGCACAGCCGCCUCUCUUUCUCUCUUCUCCUGUUGUUUCUGCUGUGCCACUUCUCUCUCUUUUCUUUGCUGCUCUUCCCAUUCUUCUUUGAUCUUUCUCUCUUCUUCCUCUUGACGUUUUCUUGCAGCCUCUUCUUUUUCUUUCUUAAGCUUGAACUCUUCUUGAGCCUUUUCUUCUCUCAGCAACCACUGCUCGUGUAGUUUUUGUCUUUCUGCCUCAAGUUUCUUUUCCUCUUCCUCAUCUUCCUCUUCGUCAAGCUCCUCCUCUUCCUCCUCAGACACCGAUUCAUCUUUUUCUGUAGCUUCUGAGUCUCUCAGUUUGGCAAGCGCCUGCCGCUUUUUUUUCCGCUUUUCUUUCUUCAGAAUGGCUCUGUAUUUCUGGUGGCUCAGCUUCCCCAGAGGGGACUCGGGCAGCAACAUGGGCGCCGCCAUCUUGCG
Molecule: long non-coding RNA, 714 nt
Filed under: Gallus gallus (chicken)
Lineage: Eukaryota; Metazoa; Chordata; Aves; Galliformes; Phasianidae
Source: RNAcentral